Vicia villosa (hairy vetch) is the source of this 605-nucleotide long non-coding RNA. RefSeq lists it as uncharacterized. The record is from RefSeq and is a predicted model, not a curated record. The transcript has 3 exons. NCBI's taxonomy places the organism in Eukaryota, Viridiplantae, Streptophyta, Magnoliopsida, Fabales, Fabaceae.
UUUCCCUUGGCCGAAGCGAUUCCCGGUGGCCCAAACCCGCCGUGAGUCACCACCCCUAACCUUUCAAUCAACAAACCUUGAACACGAACCCCACCUUAUUUCUAAUCCCUAACACGAAUAUGGAUUCAGAUUUCUAUGAUUCUCAUUUAGGCAGCGGGAUCGAGGAGUCAAUUAUCAAGCCCUAAGUUCUAGUUAUCCCGGAUUCAAGCAAAUUUAGCAACGAUCUAAACAGAAUAUCACUUAUGAACAUCAGAGCAAGCUAUAACAUGCACAAUUGAACGAGGAAGACGCGUAAAAGAACCUGAUCGGAAUUUUUGAUAUUCCGGCGCGGCGGUGAAGAUGAAUCUUCCGGUGAACUCGAACUGGUUUGGAAGUGUGUAUGCCCAAGCUGCAAGGUGCUGAUUGAAUGUGGAUACAGGCUUGAUUGGUUUUGGAAGGUGCAGUGAUGCAGGGCAUGGUUGGUUUAAGAGGGCUGUUUGGUAAGCUCAUAAAGUUAACGAAUGAAUUGGUUUAAGCUGAAUAGAACAUGGCAUUUGGAUUCGGUUUGUCAAUUGUUAGUUGUAGCAACAUGUUUUGUAAAUCUUGGUUUUGAUGUGGAGGCUAGA